GGGGCUGAUUCUGGAUUCGACGGGAUUUGCGAAACCCAAGGUGCAUGCCGAGGGGCGGUUGGCCUCGUAAAAAGCCGCAAAAAAUAGUCGCAAACGACGAAAACUACGCUUUAGCAGCUUAAUAACCUGCUUAGAGCCCUCUCUCCCUAGCCUCCGCUCUUAGGACGGGGAUCAAGAGAGGUCAAACCCAAAAGAGAUCGCGUGGAAGCCCUGCCUGGGGUUGAAGCGUUAAAACUUAAUCAGGCUAGUUUGUUAGUGGCGUGUCCGUCCGCAGGUGGCAAGCGAAUGUAAAGACUGACUAAGCAUGUAGUACCGAGGAUGUAGGAAUUUCGGACGCGGGUUCAACUCCCGCCAGCUCCACCA
This 363-nucleotide transfer-messenger RNA is filed under the name Escherichia coli. Its description in RNAcentral is "Standard tmRNA". It matches the Rfam family "transfer-messenger RNA". Rfam says of the family: Bacterial tmRNA, also known as 10Sa RNA or SsrA, is named for its dual tRNA and mRNA-like properties. The record is from RNAcentral. Lineage: Bacteria; Pseudomonadati; Pseudomonadota; Gammaproteobacteria; Enterobacterales; Enterobacteriaceae.